This 1137-nucleotide ribosomal RNA is filed under the name Promicromonospora sukumoe. Its description in RNAcentral is "bacterial SSU rRNA". It matches the Rfam family "Bacterial small subunit ribosomal RNA", at positions 164 to 1315 of the family's 1533-position model. Lineage: Bacteria; Bacillati; Actinomycetota; Actinomycetes; Micrococcales; Promicromonosporaceae. The record is from RNAcentral.
UAAUACCGGAUACGAGCACUUACCGCAUGGUGGGUGUUGGAAAGUUUUUCGGUGGGGGAUGGGCUCGCGGCCUAUCAGCUUGUUGGUGGGGUAAUGGCCUACCAAGGCGUCGACGGGUAGCCGGCCUGAGAGGGCGACCGGCCACACUGGGACUGAGACACGGCCCAGACUCCUACGGGAGGCAGCAGUGGGGAAUAUUGCACAAUGGGCGAAAGCCUGAUGCAGCGACGCCACGUGAGGGAUGACGGCCUUCGGGUUGUAAACCUCUUUCAGCAGGGAAGAAGCGCAAGUGACGGUACCUGCAGAAGAAGCGCCGGCUAACUACGUGCCAGCAGCCGCGGUAAUACGUAGGGCGCAAGCGUUGUCCGGAAUUAUUGGGCGUAAAGAGCUCGUAGGCGGUCUGUCGCGUCUGGUGUGAAAUCCCAUGGCUCAACCAUGGGCUUGCAUCGGGUACGGGCAGACUAGAGUGCUGUAGGGGAGACUGGAAUUCCUGGUGUAGCGGUGGAAUGCGCAGAUAUCAGGAGGAACACCGAUGGCGAAGGCAGGUCUCUGGGCAGUUACUGACGCUGAGGAGCGAAAGCAUGGGGAGCGAACAGGAUUAGAUACCCUGGUAGUCCAUGCCGUAAACGUUGGGCACUAGGUGUGGGGCCAGUUCCACUGGUUCUGUGCCGCAGCUAACGCAUUAAGUGCCCCGCCUGGGGAGUACGGCCGCAAGGCUAAAACUCAAAGGAAUUGACGGGGGCCCGCACAAGCGGCGGAGCAUGCGGAUUAAUUCGAUGCAACGCGAAGAACCUUACCAAGGCUUGACAUGUACGAGAAAGCCCCAGAGAUGGGGUUCUCUUUGGACACUCGUACACAGGUGGUGCAUGGUUGUCGUCAGCUCGUGUCGUGAGAUGUUGGGUUAAGUCCCGCAACGAGCGCAACCCUUAUCCUAUGUUGCCAGCGGGUUAUGCCGGGGACUCAUGGGAGACUGCCGGGGUCAACUCGGAGGAAGGUGGGGAUGACGUCAAAUCAUCAUGCCCCUUAUGUCUUGGGCUUCACGCAUGCUACAAUGGCCGGUACAGAGGGCUGCGAUACCGUGAGGUGGAGCGAAUCCCAAAAAGCCGGUCUCAGUUCGGAUCGGGGUCUGCAACUCGA